ACUCGGUGAGCUACUUCGAGACAGUCUUAAGAACGUACCCGUCUCUGUCGCAAAAGAGUGGGAAGAUCUCCAAGUAGGGGCAACAAACCUACCGCACCCAGAGAUAGCUGGUUACUCAAGAAAAGAAUUUAAGUUCAACCUAAAGUUUCUCGAUUAUACAAAAUAAAAACUUUAGAGCCACUCAAAUAAGGCACAGCUUAUUUGAAACAGGAUUCAACCUACACCAUCGGGUAAUUAUACUAAACAAGUAAUAAGUGGGCCUAAAAGCAGCCACCUACAAAAAGCGUUAAAGCUUAAUACCAAUUUUUACCUAAUAUCUUUACUCCCCUAGAACCCCUCACUAAUAUUGAGUAACUCCAUAAACUUAUGGAAGCUAUUAUGCUAGAACUAGUAACAAGAAAUAGAUUUUCUCCUAAAAUGUAAGCCUAAGCCACAAUAGACAAACUACUGGCAAUUAACGUAAAUGAAGACAUUAUAGUAACCUCAACAAGAAAACCCU
RNAcentral lists this ribosomal RNA (499 nucleotides) under Mantidactylus katae. Its description in RNAcentral is "partial 16S ribosomal RNA". The stretch from base 1 to 385 matches the Rfam family "Bacterial large subunit ribosomal RNA", at positions 720 to 1300 of the family's 2925-position model. Lineage: Eukaryota; Metazoa; Chordata; Amphibia; Anura; Mantellidae. The record is from RNAcentral.